AAGGCUUUGGAAAUUUUAUUCUUUACAGAAUUUGAAUAGGUUGUUUUGUUUUGUUUAAACACAAUAAAUACUUCAGCAAUAGCAUUUAACAGACCAGAAUUUAAACCCACUGCAGUACCUAAACUCCCAGAGACAGGGCUCCAGGACAGCAAUCGGGGUCCCAGGGCCCACGGCAGCUUCAUCCGAUUCCUGUUUUGGGACAACCCCAGACAAGAGGGACCAAGCACACUUGGCUCCAGUGGGGAGUGCAGCAGAGUAUCCAGGCUCCUGCCGACAGCAGCUCCUUGGGAAGGCUCAGCAGGGAAGGGACAGAACCAAACCACCACAAGCACCAAAGCGUCUUUCCCUGACUCAUUUCACAGCACUGGGACCUUGAGAGCAGCUGCUGCAACAGGGGCUGCACGGGGGCUUGGUGACAGAAAACCGAGCCCAGGUGGUGCCUCCAAACUUGCUUCUGGAAGGACGAGGCAGCAUCACUAACUGCUCCCACACCUUGCCCAGGAAAACUGAACAGCCACAUGGACAUGGGCCCUGGAAGAUGCUCUGAAGGGUUCACAGAAUGGUUCGGAGUGGACUCGCUCCAACAGCUCCACGUCCUUCUUAUGUUGGGGCCCCAGAGCUGAGUUGCAGAGAUGGUCCCUGUCCUGCAUUUACAGGGCCUUGUUACAACUGACCUAAGUGAGAUUAAAACAGCUCCCAAAGUGCAGCCUACAGGUACGAGUACACCUGGGAGGUAAUGCUGGUCCAGCUCCAUUUAAAUAAGUGUUUCCAGAGCCUGAGAAGCUCAUGCUUACAACAUGGGGAUCCCCCAGCUCUGGCAAAGCUGCCUCUAGCAGGUGGCUGAUGUUUACAAGAGGAGAGGCUUCUGCCAAGCCCCUGCAGUGACCAGCCGCCAAAGAGAGGAGGUAACUGGAGCACAGUCACACUGGAGGAAGAGCCAAGCUAAAACCAACAGCACGUAGGUCCUUGUUUGUAGGCCUGGUCAGCCACAGCAUCUGUAUUUGUAAAACAUCACCUUUAGAUGGCCCAAAGCCCAGGAGGUCCCAAAACCUGCACCUCACCCUCCACCCCAGCUCUACUUGUGAGCUCCUGCACUGGGUUCCUGGAUCAGUGCAGAGGCAGGAGCUGUGAUAGGAAACACAAGACCAAGAUGAUAAAGGCUGCAAGUGAGAUUCCUGCUCCGCCUCAGCUACGCAAGCCCUGUGUUGACACCUUGGCGCAUCCCAGGCUCCCACAAAAACCUGCUUCAGAGCAAAGCAUGGUGAGGAUGAGGAGGAGCUGGCGGCACUGGCCACCUCCUCCCACAGCACAAGGACCUGUCCGGAGACUGACAUCUCCAAGGACUGCAGCCCUCCCUGAACAGGCUUCUUCCUGGUCAUACUGUGUCUUGAGAUAAAGCAUGCAGAAGAGAUUUAGGAAAGCAUAAGACAGUCCUGUUACCAACUCAGCAGGUCCAUCAGCAAUUAAGAAAAUAGGACUCACACUGUCCCUGGAAGCAGAUAUCCCUGGAAGAAGAGACACCACCAAUCAGCUCUCAAAUACUGAGCAGGAGCAGAGGAGCAAGCGCACAACCCUACCCCAUCCCAAGGAGCACAUCUCACCGCAAUGAGAGUCGAGCCAGCAUGCUCCACUGUAACAUGAUUACCACCAGAUGCUCUCAGCAAGGAAUACGUUUAUUCUUAAGACUUCAAACCAUUCUGAUUAAUUGUUUGUUUCUCAGCACACCACACCCCACCACGGCAAGAAGGUUUGGUCAUUGUUUCCAUUCCCCUACCAGAAUCUGGAGCAAAAUCACUUCAAUUUAACAGCCCAAACGGAAGCCUCCAGCUUCACAGUAGCACGAGCUGGGAAGGGUCGUACGUGCAGCGAGAUCAGGUCUGAACCUUCCUUGCUCUGCCACAAGUCUGGUAGUGCUAGAGGCAAGCGAGCCUGCUUUCCAGCACUGAUUGAAUGAGACAGUUUUUCUAGUUUCAAGGUGCAACAAAUUAAGGCACCAAAAAUCCAGGACUCUCCAAAGAUCAAGCCAGUGCAGAUAGGAAGCAGUUCCAGUUUUUAACACGUUUCUCCUACAGCACAAGUAUUUGCAGGACUUCAGAGAGAAAGCCCUCCUUCCAUGUGUUUGUAUUUUCACAAAGGGGUUUUCCAGGGUGUGUUUCAUGUUGCAA
Molecule: long non-coding RNA, 2165 nt
Filed under: Strigops habroptila (Kakapo)
Lineage: Eukaryota; Metazoa; Chordata; Aves; Psittaciformes; Psittacidae
Description: lncRNA (ENSSHBG00005015135.1)
Source: RNAcentral